CCAACCGACUGAACCUCUGCUUCUCGAAAUCAGUUACAGCGGGAGACGCUCUGACCGUCGUCUAUAUAGCCUCCCUCGCCGUCCUUCCUCCUCCUCCCCUCCCAUUGCUUCUCGAGCGUAGCUUCCUUCCUUCCCUCUCUGAUUCAUCUGGGAGUUCUUGCGAAGCUGUUCGACCGAGGCGAGAUGGAGCCCAAGCGGAAGGCCGACGACGAGCUUAACGGGACAAGGCAUCCGGCUGCGCGUGCGCGGACGGACACUAGAGACGGCGAUGACCUCGCCGGUACAUCGGCGCAGCCAUCAGGGACGACGGCGAAUGCAGCCGGCGACGGCAUUGCGGGGAUUUCGCAGGCGCUUGCGGGGCUGACGACGGCGACUACAGGCUCCGCCGGCGGCUCUUCCCAGUCCGGUGGAGGUGGGUGCCCAAGAAAUCAAGGCAUACGACCGAGCGCGGGGUUCGUUCUUGGAUUGUAACCUUCGGUAACUUCGUUUCUUGCAGUUCUCGGGCGCGGCCCAUGGUCGGGGCAGAGGGGAAGGGGAUUCGCUCCGCCGCCACGGCAGGCUUUUCCAGGGCAGACGACGACUACACCGGUCUUCGUUUUAGGUGGAGGUGGGUGCCCAAGAAAUCAAGGCAUACGAUCGAGCGCGGGGUUCGUUCUUGGACUGUAACCUUCGGUAACUUCGUUUCUUGCAGUUCUCGGGCGCGGCCCAUGGUCGGGGCAGAGGGGAAGGGGAUUCGCUCCGCCGCCACGGCAGGCUUUUCCAGGGCAGACGGCGACUACACCGGCCUUCGCUUUAGGUGGAGGUGGGUGCCCAAGAAAUCAAGGCAUACGAGCUUGGGUUGAUCAUGUCGUUUCUUGGAUUGUAACCUUCGGUAACUUCGUUUCUUGCAGUUCUCGGGCGCGGCCCAUGGUCGGGGCAGAGGGGAAGGGGAUUCGCUCCGCCGCCACGGCAGGCUUUUCCAGGGCAGACGGCGACUACACCGGCCUUCGCUUUAGGUGGAG
RNAcentral lists this long non-coding RNA (1001 nucleotides) under Hordeum vulgare. RNAcentral's name for it is "long non-coding RNA (HVUL_LNC014154)". Lineage: Eukaryota; Viridiplantae; Streptophyta; Magnoliopsida; Poales; Poaceae. The record is from RNAcentral.